AAUGAACGCUGGCGGCAUGCCUUACACAUGCAAGUCGAACGGCAGCAUGACCUAGCUUGCUAGGUUGAUGGCGAGUGGCGAACGGGUGAGUAAUGCAUCGGAACGUGCCUUUUAGUGGGGGAUAACGUAGCGAAAGUUACGCUAAUACCGCAUAUUCUCUGAGGAGGAAAGCAGGGGACCUUCGGGCCUUGCGCUAGAAGAGCGGCCGAUGUCGGAUUAGCUAGUUGGUGAGGUAAAGGCUCACCAAGGCAACGAUCCGUAGCGGGCCUGAGAGGAUGAUCCGCCACACUGGGACUGAGACACGGCCCAGACUCCUACGGGAGGCAGCAGUGGGGAAUUUUGGACAAUGGGCGCAAGCCUGAUCCAGCCAUGCCGCGUGAGUGAAGAAGGCCUUCGGGUUGUAAAGCUCUUUCGGCUGGGAAGAAAUCGCACCCUCUAAUACAGGGUGUGGAUGACGGUACCAGCAUAAGAAGCACCGGCUAACUACGUG
RNAcentral lists this ribosomal RNA (490 nucleotides) under uncultured bacterium. Its description in RNAcentral is "partial 16S ribosomal RNA". It matches the Rfam family "Bacterial small subunit ribosomal RNA", at positions 29 to 507 of the family's 1533-position model. The record is from RNAcentral.